RNAcentral lists this unclassified non-coding RNA (200 nucleotides) under Sarcosphaera sp. RNAcentral's name for it is "partial internal transcribed spacer 2". The record is from RNAcentral. Lineage: Eukaryota; Fungi; Ascomycota; Pezizomycetes; Pezizales; Pezizaceae.
UUAAGUUCAGCGGGUAUCCCUACCUGAUCUGAGGUCACCCAUAUAUGAUAAAGGGUGAGUUGAAGGCUGGUAUGAUGCAUUUAGAAGACGAUAUUGAAUAUAUUACGUCUUGGUCUAGAAACAACCGUACCGCCUAUAGAUUUCUGGAAGGCAACUCGAAUAGUGAGCGCUUUUCCAAGGCUAUCCAAGCUAAAGGCGCU